Non-coding RNA from Pelobates cultripes (western spadefoot toad), 203 nucleotides. Lineage: Eukaryota; Metazoa; Chordata; Amphibia; Anura; Pelobatidae. The record is from the annotation of a GenBank genome assembly.
GUAAUUACAAAACCAGAAUAUUGCCUGUACCUGGAGAUAAUUAAGUUACUGUAACCAUUUAAGCUACUUAUCUCCAGGAUAGAGGGAUGGGUUUGAAAAGAUGCACUUUGUUCUUAUUGGUUAUUGUCCCUUGUAACACUGUGUACCAUCAGGUCCAGAGGGGUGUGCCUCUGGCCUGAAAAUGUGUAUAUAAGCAAUGCCUU